UUGAUUCUAAUUUCAUAUUCAGACACAAACUGAUUCCAGCAUAAAAGCGGCGCUCUAGGGCGCCGAAGCACAUCUAGCUUCCACAGGUUUGAAGGGUAGAAAGGUCAAAAGACCAUUCAUUAAUGAUCCCUCCGCAGGUUCACCUACGGAGA
Molecule: unclassified non-coding RNA, 152 nt
Filed under: uncultured fungus
Lineage: Eukaryota; Fungi
Description: sequence contains ITS1, 5.8S rRNA gene
Source: RNAcentral